GGCUCCUGCAGCCCCUGAGAGAAAAUUCAGUACCACUGUCAGAGGGAAAGUGGGCCUGGAGGACUGGGAGCAGGGGCGUGUGAACAGCAUGCCCGGCAUUUGCAGGAGCAGUUAGAAGACAGAUGCAUUCUCCUCGGGAGCUGCCACUGACCACACCCCAGUGCUAAUCCCAGAACCAUCUGUGUCACACAACUGCUUUCAAGCUACCAACAAAAUGUGCAGAGUUGUGGGAAGGAACUUCCACAAGAGGAUGUGCUUUCAGAGGAGGAUGUCAUAGAUGAGAACUGCUGCCAUGAACAACCAUAAACAACCGCUGACAGCUGCCUCUCCUGGGGGCUUCCCCCCAGCACAUCAGAUGGUGCACGGUGCCACAAACCUCCGCUGUGUCCCAAGGCCCAGUAUCAGAGGUCGAAUCAAGCUUUGCCUAAACAUAUUAAACAGAAAAUUGCAGAAAAAAUUUGUGACCUGUGUGUGA
Molecule: long non-coding RNA, 475 nt
Filed under: Chinchilla lanigera (long-tailed chinchilla)
Lineage: Eukaryota; Metazoa; Chordata; Mammalia; Rodentia; Chinchillidae
Description: lncRNA (ENSCLAG00000024706.1)
Source: RNAcentral